GUGCUGGCUUGAGCAGCACAUACAUUAAACUUGAACAACGCAGAGAAGAUUAGUGUGCCCCUGCGUAAGGAUGACACACAAACUCGUGAGGCGUUCCAUAUUUUU
Small nuclear RNA from Mastomys coucha (southern multimammate mouse), 105 nucleotides. The record is from RefSeq and is a predicted model, not a curated record. Lineage: Eukaryota; Metazoa; Chordata; Mammalia; Rodentia; Muridae.